GACGAACGCUGGCGGCGUGCUUAACACAUGCAAGUCGAACGGAAAGGCCCUGCUUUUGUGGGGUGCUCGAGUGGCGAACGGGUGAGUAACACGUGAGUAACCUGCCCUUGACUUUGGGAUAACUUCAGGAAACUGGGGCUAAUACCGGAUAGGAGCUCCUGCUGCAUGGUGGGGGUUGGAAAGUUUCGGCGGUUGGGGAUGGACUCGCGGCUUAUCAGCUUGUUGGUGGGGUAGUGGCUUACCAAGGCUUUGACGGGUAGCCGGCCUGAGAGGGUGACCGGCGACAUUGGGACUGAGAUACGGCCCAGACUCCUACGGGCGGCAGCAGUGGGGAAUAUUGCGCAAUGGGCGGAAGCCUGAUGCAGCAGCGCCGCGUGCGGGAUGACGGCCUUCGGGUUGUAAACCGCUUUCGCCUGUGCCGAAGCGUGAGUGACGGUAAUGGGUAAAGAAGCACCGGCUAACUACGUG
RNAcentral lists this ribosomal RNA (468 nucleotides) under uncultured bacterium. Its description in RNAcentral is "partial 16S ribosomal RNA". It matches the Rfam family "Bacterial small subunit ribosomal RNA", at positions 28 to 507 of the family's 1533-position model. The record is from RNAcentral.